Molecule: ribosomal RNA, 253 nt
Filed under: uncultured bacterium
Lineage: Bacteria
Description: partial 16S ribosomal RNA
Rfam family: Bacterial small subunit ribosomal RNA
Source: RNAcentral
UACGGGGGGUGCGAGCGUUGUCCGGAAUCACUGGGCGUAAAGAGUGCGUAGGCGGUUUUCUAAGUUUGGUGUGAAAUCUCCCGGCUUAACUGGGAGGGUGCGCCGAAAACUGGAAGGCUUGAGUAUGGGAGAGGUAAGCGGAAUUCCUGGUGUAGCGGUGAAAUGCGUAGGUAUCAGGAGGAACACCUGCGGUGUAGACGGCUUACUGGACCAUAACUGACGCUGAGGCACGAAAGCGUGGGGAGCAAACAGG